UGGGGAAUAUUGCACAAUGGGCGCAAGCCUGAUGCAGCCAUGCCGCGUGUAUGAAGAAGGCCUUCGGGUUGUAAAGUACUUUCAGCGGGGAGGAAGGGAGUAAAGUUAAUACCUUUGCUCAUCGACGUUACCCGCAGAAGAAGCACCGGCUAACUCCGUGCCAGCAGCCGCGGUAAUACGGAGGGUGCAAGCGUUAAUCGGAAUUACUGGGCGUAAAGCGCACGCAGGCGGUUUGUUAAGUCAGAUGUGAAAUCCCCGGGCUCAACCUGGGAACUGCAUCUGAUACUGGCAAGCUUGAGUCUCGUAGAGGGGGGUAGAAUUCCAGGUGUAGCGGUGAAAUGCGUAGAGAUCUGGGGGAAUACCGGUGGCGAAGGCGGCCCCCUGGACGAAGACUGACGCUCAGGUGCGAAAGCGUGGGGAGCAAACAGG
Molecule: ribosomal RNA, 429 nt
Filed under: Chloroflexota bacterium
Lineage: Bacteria; Bacillati; Chloroflexota
Description: Chloroflexi bacterium partial 16S ribosomal RNA
Rfam family: Bacterial small subunit ribosomal RNA
Source: RNAcentral